RNAcentral lists this ribosomal RNA (253 nucleotides) under uncultured bacterium. Its description in RNAcentral is "partial 16S ribosomal RNA". It matches the Rfam family "Bacterial small subunit ribosomal RNA", at positions 524 to 776 of the family's 1533-position model. The record is from RNAcentral.
UACGUAGGGUGCGAGCGUUGUCCGGAAUUAUUGGGCGUAAAGAGCUUGUAGGCGGUUUGUCGCGUCUGCUGUGAAAAUCCGGGGCUCAACCCCGGACUUGCAGUGGGUACGGGCAGACUAGAGUGUGGUAGGGGAGACUGGAAUUCCUGGUGUAGCGGUGAAAUGCGCAGAUAUCAGGAGGAACACCGAUGGCGAAGGCAGGUCUCUGGGCCGUAACUGACGCUGAGGAGCGAAAGCAUGGGGAGCGAACAGG